CGAGGACGAACGCUGGCGGCGUGCUUAACACAUGCAAGUCGAACGGUAAGGCCCUUCGGGGUACACGAGUGGCGAACGGGUGAGUAACACGUGGGUGAUCUGCCCUGCACUUUGGGAUAAGCCUGGGAAACUGGGUCUAAUACCGAAUAGGACCAUGGACUUCACGGUUUGUGGUGGAAAGCUUUUGCGGUGUGGGAUGGGCCCGCGGCCUAUCAGCUUGUUGGUGGGGUAAUGGCCUACCAAGGCGACGACGGGUAGCCGGCCUGAGAGGGUGACCGGCCACACUGGGACUGAGAUACGGCCCAGACUCCUACGGGAGGCAGCAGUGGGGAAUAUUGCACAAUGGGCGCAAGCCUGAUGCAGCGACGCCGCGUGAGGGAUGACGGCCUUCGGGUUGUAAACCUCUUUCAGCACAGACGAAGCGCAAGUGACGGUAUGUGCAGAAGAAGGACCGGCCAACUACGUG
This 466-nucleotide ribosomal RNA is filed under the name uncultured bacterium. RNAcentral describes it as "bacterial SSU rRNA". It matches the Rfam family "Bacterial small subunit ribosomal RNA", at positions 26 to 507 of the family's 1533-position model. The record is from RNAcentral.